This 74-nucleotide transfer RNA is filed under the name Clostridiales bacterium. Its description in RNAcentral is "tRNA-Arg". It matches the Rfam family "tRNA". From Rfam's summary of the family: Transfer RNA (tRNA) molecules are approximately 80 nucleotides in length. Their secondary structure includes four short double-helical elements and three loops (D, anti-codon, and T loops). Lineage: Bacteria; Bacillati; Bacillota; Clostridia; Eubacteriales. The record is from RNAcentral.
GCGCCUGUAGCUCAGCAGGAUAGAGCGUCAGCCUCCUAAGCCGAAGGCCCCCGGUUCGAAUCCGGGCAGGCGCG